This is a non-coding RNA of Prunus avium (sweet cherry), 726 nucleotides long. The record is from RefSeq and is a predicted model, not a curated record. NCBI's taxonomy places the organism in Eukaryota, Viridiplantae, Streptophyta, Magnoliopsida, Rosales, Rosaceae.
GUGGAAAACAACUUUACUAGAAAAUUAGCAGAAAUAUAAUUCAGAACAGAAGUUUUAGAGAACAACGCCUUAUACUCAGAGGCCCAACCAAAAAGAUCGAAACUUUAUUAGAGCAAAAGCCUUGUGUGUUUCUCUUCAAGACUUGAACAGUUCAACAACAACUGAGAUAUGCCCUUCUUCUUCAGCCCAGAUCUAUUCAGUGAGUGCUGCUUGUGACAAUGUCAAGACCAUGGGUACUGGUUUGUCUGCUCCUGUUAAUUGUGUUUACCUCACAGUUUGAAUGGAAGCAAUAUGGGAAUGAUGAACCAAGUCCAAGCACUUCCAAGAAACAUCAAUAUAUAUCUGAAAGGGAAGAAGCUGUGAAAGAAAAAAUUAUCCUCUCUCAAGAGAAAAAUAUACAGAAACUUAGUGAGCUUGUGCGGAGUCUUCGGGAACAAUUGCUACAAUGUAGAGGUGAAAAUGAGAUUGUCAAUGGCACUGCAGCCCCUUUGACUGAACUUCUUUCUGAGCUUGAAAGGCAUCCACUUUUGGAGGAUUAGUCAGAGAUCAUAUGCGUUAAACAUCAGUAUGUUUGUAUCUUUAAGUAGGAGAAUCCAAAUUCUUUCUUAUUGCUUAGCUUAAUGUGAAACUACACCCGCUUAGAAGGUGAAUUGCAAAGUGCAGUAUCAAAACAGUUUUCUUUUGCCAGUAUGUUAUGAAUAUAUAAAGUUAAUAUGUUUUACUUUU